AGAUUCCUCUCUUUUCAUAGUUAAUCUAGAGCAAUUUUAUUAUCUAAUAAAACUUUAGAAAGAGAAUUUAAAGAAGUCUGUUGUGCAACCAUAGCCUUUGCAGUUGAACCUGCUGUAGAGCCUAUAAUGAGUGAUACAUUUGUAAGCACUGCCUCAUUUAUAUUUAUUUCAGGCCAUGAGAAAAGAGACCUAAGAAAUGAUGCCCAUCCAGAAGAGUGAAGACUUCCUGAAAAUGUUCUUUUAACCUAAGAUGUAGGUUAAGAGGAGUGAAAAAAUGUUCUGUUUCUGACUGAUGAUGGAGCAACAAAGGAACUCCUAAAGAAGAAAUCAUCCAUUCAGUGAGAGCAAAUGAACACUCCAACAGACUGAAACAAAGCAUCUUUACAGGAGAUGUGAAUGCGAGAAAGCAAAGAGAACUACAGUCAGGGUCUCCGCUGGCAUGGCCCAAGCCCACCGUGGCAUGAUCCAGAGAGACGAGUCAGCAGAGCACUAUGGGCAGCUCCCAUACUCUUCGCAGAUCAACAAGCCAGCAUAUAACCCAGGGAGAUAGAUAAUAGUGAUGCUGUGCUCUGUAGAGGGUAGUGGCAACAGUGGGAUUUCUUCUGGAAUAAAUCUGUAGUGAGCCAGAUGUUUCUGCUGACUAUAUUACUUCUGACAGUGUAUAAUCCAAAAUUGUUUCCUUGGCCUUCCAAAAAGUUUUAUAAGCUCCCUAACGGCUGCAAUAAAUCCCUUUCUUCUUAAACUAGCUAGAGUGGAUUUUUGUUCUCUACAAAACAGAUCCUGCCACUAAGAACCCCACUAGUAUUUGUUGCCAUGAUUAGGGAAUAAGUUAAACCACUGUAAGGGGGGAAAAGCAGCUCCAAGUACAAGGGCUUAAAUGUGUUAGAAGCUUCUUUCUCAUAUCACAAUUCAAGAUGAAUACCUGGGCCAUGCUCCAUAAAGUCAUCUAGAUACCCAGGUUGCUGGGGCAACUCUGCCAUCUUCUACAUUUGGCUUUUCUCUCUAGGUCAAAAGUGUUUUCUCCAGUGAUCAUUAACUUCACUGGUUCCACAUUCCAGGCCACAGAACGGAACAAAAGAAAAUAUGAAGGGCAAACAACUUUAUUUUGAAAAACGUAAAGCAGAAGUCGUUGCUAAAACUUAGGCCCGGCGGGUGGCUGACAUCUGUAAUUCCAGCACUUCGGGAGGUCAAGGCAAGAGGAUCACUUGAGCCCAAGAGUUUAAGACCAGCCUGGGCAACACAGGGAGAUACGUUCUCUACAAGAAUUAAAAUAAAAAAUGAAAUAAAUUAGCCAGGUGUGGUGAUGCAUGCCUGUAGUCCCAGCUACUUGGGAAGUUGAGGUGGGAGGAUCUCUUGAGCACUGAUCAAGGCUGCAAUGAGCUAUGAUCACACCACUGCAUUCCAGCCUGGGUGACAGAGCAUGACCCUGUCUCAAAAAAUAAAAUAAAACCUAGAAGCUAAACCCAAACUCAAAGCCUUCUCAAGAGAAUGUGGAAAAUGUAACCUGUAACUGGAGUAGCCAUUAAUCUAGCCAAAACUUGAUGGGCAUGGGGUGUUCUCUUAGUAAAAGAAGAAAAGAGAAAUGGACAUGGGAAAAAUUCCAAAACUUUAUUCAAGAGGACAUCAUCAGCUUUUGAGACUUCAGUUGUCCCGGGCAAAUGGGCUCUUACUCCCCUCUCUUUUCUUAAAGCAAAAAUACCUGCAGGAAGCCGCAGAGCAGUGGAAAGAUCAGAAAGCGUACUCCUCAGUCCCUCUACCUAAGUAGCAGUGAGAUGGCCAUAGCUAUUUUUACCCUCUUACUAGAAAUAAAACAUUUAGAUUUUGAAACACCAACUCCUCCUCCAAUGUAGAGCAUCCUCUGUGUAGACACUAUGAGAUAUAGAAGUCAGCAAGGCUGGCCUGGCCACUGCCCUCUUGAUGCUUUCAUUCUAGGAUGGAAGAUUAAUUUCUUGGUAGUUGAUUAUUUAACUAAUUAUUAAGAGUGCUCCAAGGAAGUACAAAAUGGAUAUAUGUAUAAAUGGAUAUGUGUCAUAAGUAAAUGGAUAUAAGUGUCAUAAGUAUAUGACAGAAGAAUUUGACCUAGGCUGAAGAGAUCACAAAUGCAUUUUCCUCUUAAAGUGAUAUUUAAGUAUAUACAAAAAUUAUGAACAGAUUUACCAGUGAAAUUUAUUUCUGCAAGUUGGCAAAUUGUUUACAUAACCUUCCUAUUUCACUCUUUAGUUAUGAUUAGGAGUUUUUUUUUUUCACUUAAAAACAUGUAUCAAAAUUGUUUGAGUAGGUAUUCAUUUACCUGGCUUAAACACAAAGUAUGAAAAUGUAGCUGGG
RNAcentral lists this long non-coding RNA (2325 nucleotides) under Homo sapiens (human). RNAcentral's name for it is "LNC_000323". The record is from RNAcentral. Lineage: Eukaryota; Metazoa; Chordata; Mammalia; Primates; Hominidae.